Ailuropoda melanoleuca (giant panda) is the source of this 931-nucleotide long non-coding RNA. RefSeq lists it as uncharacterized. The record is from RefSeq and is a predicted model, not a curated record. The transcript has 3 exons. NCBI's taxonomy places the organism in Eukaryota, Metazoa, Chordata, Mammalia, Carnivora, Ursidae.
AGAAAAUGUCUUUCUUCUGACUCACCAAGGAAGGCGCUGUGGAUGUUUGAAUCCCAUAUGUGGAUGGCUCCUUCGGAUGAGAGGCAGUUAUCAUCCAGGAUGUUCAGGAAGGCAGCUGUGCGGCUGUCAUGAGUUGUUUCAACACAGUGAAGAGAAGCCAGGAAGCCCGUUUCUGACGGCAAAAAUGGAAGGUGAGGGGAGAUGCCACUGAAGGAGAAGAAAGUACAGCCCAGACUUGCUCUAGGGACUGUUUCAGACUGACUCUUUUGUCUCCAGAAUUGUAGUUCCAACCGCCCCAGUAAAGGCCUGUUUGAUGAAAUUUUCAGUGACUUCUUUCUUGGUCGAUGAGGAGCAGACCUCUGGCUGCUGUACCAGUAUCAGAGGAUCCACAGAUUUCAGAGCCAGUGCUUGACACCCCGUAACAUUCUCUUCUCUGGAAACUUUUCAUUGGGACUCAGAAAGAAUUAGGUCAUCCUCAUGAUGUGUCUGGAACUGCAAUUUACAAAUGUAACAACGGUGAGGCAGCCAUCUUCCCUGUGAACCUUGCGGAGGAGACAAGCCCGUGGAGAGGGAAGAGGAUAACAAAUCCGCAUGGAGAAGCACAGAUGACAGAUGGAGAAAGACACCCGGAGAAAGACACCUGGAAGCUUCGCUGGCCUUCAUUUCCGUUCCUUUCUAAAGCCCAGCACAACCACAUUCCUGUUCUUGCAGUCUAUGAAAUGAUACUAUAUCCUCAUAAUAAACCCUUGCCUCUCACCUUAUGCUCUACUCAGCUGCAGAUCACAGCCCCCCAAGGUUCAUUCGAUGGUGCAAACCCUCUCCUGGUUUUGUAGCCAGACCACUGCCACAUCUUUAGGCUUAGGUAUGGCUUCUAGCAGCCUGUGGAUUUCCUUGCCGUGUUUAAUUUCUCUGUUCUCACUCUUUAGCAGGC